Molecule: long non-coding RNA, 204 nt
Filed under: Lathyrus oleraceus (garden pea)
Lineage: Eukaryota; Viridiplantae; Streptophyta; Magnoliopsida; Fabales; Fabaceae
Description: Pisum sativum (pea) long non-coding RNA (PSAT_LNC030116)
Source: RNAcentral
UGAACCUAGGUUGACCAAUUCUUGGAUGAUUUUCCCCUAGUCAAUAGGAUCUUCAAACUCUCUUCCUUUGAUCAUUAGGUUUUACCCCUAAUUGAAAGGAUCCCUAGGUGACUUGCCCCUAGUUAGGAGCGUCUUGAUAUGGUUUUCCUUUGAUCAGAUCAUUGUUGAGAUUUAAGAAACAAAAGAUAUAAAGCUCAAAUUUUA